Molecule: long non-coding RNA, 3503 nt
Organism: Felis catus (domestic cat)
Lineage: Eukaryota; Metazoa; Chordata; Mammalia; Carnivora; Felidae
Exons: 7
Source: RefSeq, a predicted model, not a curated record
UUCGCUGUCAGCACAAAGCCGAUCGCGGGCCCCGAUCCAAUGAACUGUGAGCUCGCGACCUGGGCAGAAAUCGAGAAUUGGACGCUUCACCAACUAGGCCGGCCAGGCACCUGGGGCUUUUGCUUUAUGUAUCUGCCCUUGCUCUGCUACUUUCUGGCUGUGUGACCUUGUACGGAUUACUUUGCGUCUCUGUGCCCCAUUUUCCACAUCCGAUAAAAUUAAUCAUACUAUUAUCUCAUAGGAUUGCUGUGAAGACUAAACGAGAUAACAACGGGAAAGCUCUUAGAACAGUGGUGGGCACCCAGUAAGGGCUCAAACAUGUAAACAUUUGCCGUAGGUCUAUGUAUGGCUCUUGUGAUUUUUCUUUGAGUCAAGCAGCAGCUCUCCUUUCUCGUCUUUUCUUUGUGUUUGGAUUCAGGCCGUGCGAGCGCAAUCUGCCUGCCUUGGAGGUCCCUCCAUCCGAAAGACCAUUUCCAUUUCCGGGACGACCCUCUCAGGAUUCCUCUGGGAACCCAGCCGCGGGGCACCGCUCCCCGCUUUCCUCUGGGCUCCAGAAUGACCCACGCCAAGCACAGAGCAGUCCCCAGCAUGGCUGCCGCGUUCCGGUUUCUUUGUCAAUGUGAAGCGUCCUCGUUGCCGGUCGCGUUGCCAUGCCAACGCCCUUUCUGUGCUCUCGGAGUGGCCAGCAGGGGGAGCUACGCGGCCGUUGCCGAACCCCAGGCGGGGCUUUGUGACCGGCCAGGGCUUCUCCGGAGGAGUCCUAAGGACAGUACCUGUGGAUCUUAACGUUAGGGAAGAUAGAAACCGUCCUGGGCAUGGCAUGGAGAUUCACUGGGUACUUCUGCAGAUAGAACCUUAGGAGACAGAAAGCUGGAUGUUCUAGCUGUCGAGAGCUUUGCCGUCAGACAUCCCUCUGAUGAGAUUUCUUAGCUACCUUACCUCCAGCGAGUGGCUUAAACUCUUCCAGGCACGGUUUCUUCAUACAAAAAACUGGAGAAUCCAGGCUGCCCUCAGGGGGAUGCUGGAAGAGUCUCUGUGUGGCUAAUAGAGAUCUCAGCCACGGAGGCAUUCGGGGAAUGCUAGGUAUCAUUGCUCAGUGAAGGCUGAGCCAAUUUCGAAGCACCCCGACCAGAAUUCUCUCUCUCGGCUCUUUUCUCUCUCCUGGCCCGAUGGCCUCCUUUUCUCUCCCUUCAGCUCUGCAUUCUCUCCCUGCCCUUCCUGCCUGUCGCUGAGGCCUGGAACCCACGCUGUGGACCUCAUCCUGGGCGGCGUCUAUCCUCCCCGUUCCUGGAUACCUGGCUGUGACCCACUGGUGACAUAAAUUUGAUGGGUUGUGACCAGCGUUAAAAAAAUAACUGUUGCUGACAUUGAGUCUUCAGUGAAUAGGAACAUCAUCAUCUCUCAGUGGAAGAAGCAGGCGAGAGAGAGAGAGAGAAGAGAAUGUUUUUAUAAUAUGGGUCUUGGCCAGAUAAUAGAAGGGAUGCUCCAAGGCGUCUGCCUCUAUUCUGACUCAUGCGUUGGCUGUGAGCUUGAGGAAGUCAUGACAUUCUCUAUAGAAGGGAACUGGAGCGCUCCCUCAACUCAGCGCAGAUAACAUUCUGAUAACAGGAGCUUCAAGAUCACUGGAAACAAAGCACUGCUGUUCACUUGUGCGGUCUGGCCCUUGCAGGAUGGUGCUGGAGGCCGCAUCUGGGCUUCCAGCCAGCGGGGGAAUGUAGGGAAAAGAGGACGUUUCUUCUUCUCAUAAACAAUCAACCCGUCGACAAGCAGGCGGCCCUCUUAACCUGAACUCCCUGUGUUAACCGAAAGCCAGGAGGACUUUGACCAUGCAGGCUCCGUUGCAUAACUCUUUUCAAUGGGCUAUUGUUUUCCUGACUGGAUGUUUUCCAUGAUGGAAAUGAUUCGUGUGCCAUGCUGGGCAGGAGAUCAUAUGUAAAUGCUUCCUGGGUUUGAUCUCCAUACGGGGCAUGAAUUAACGCUUGCGCGAAGGCACAGAGUAGGUAGUAAAUGGAUUUAAUUAACGUAAAGUAUUUGAGCCAUCACGGUGGGCAGUGGUGACCUCAGGUGUGGGUACCUGCUGCUUUACAGCUUGGUCAGCACCAGAAAUGGCCACAUUUCGUGCUUAAACCACUCAAAGGAGUUUGACGGUGGAAAAGCCAGGGUGGAGGUGGGGGAGUCAGGCCGGGAGCCAGGCGCCUUUAAUGUGUUUCUGCUUUUGCUGUGAACCUGGGCAAGUUGUGACACGUUCUAAAGAUUUACCCAACUGUUCAAGGACAGCGAUGGGGUGAGGGGGGUGGGAAGCUUGCAGAGAGCUCCCGAGAGGAAUCCUGGAUGCCAAGCCACCUUCCAGAAAGGAGAGGGUCGCUUUCCCUCUCUCCGCCACGGGCGUGAACAGGGACCAUGCGGUUUGCAAAGGAGCCUCUACAGCCUUCCCCUUGCCCUCCGCCAACCACAGUGGACUCUGUCUUUGCCAGCUGCCUUCCUGGGCUCUUCCGUUGCGGAGUCAGGGCGAGGCGGGGAGAGAAAGGACUGGAGACUCCUGGAGGCACGUGCUGAGGAGUGGCCGUGGCAGGAGAGUCAGAAAUUGCCCGACGGGAGAGAAUCAGUAGUGGAGGUGACAUGAAGGAAGCAGAGAAGGAGAGGCAGCGGUCCACCGGGGACCGGGAGGGGGCCGUCCUGUUCCGCUUUCAGACAGAUGAGGUUCCCUGCAGCCGAGCCCUGCCUGACUCCUAAGAGAACCCUGGUCCGAAGACAGCUGUGAGGAGCCUGGCCCGCAUUCAGGGGCGACUUCGUGUUGCGAUCCCGGCCACCACGUCACAGGGACUGAUGUGGCUGGCUGGGUCCUUGACCUUCUGCUGUAUGCCUCACUUCUCUUCCCCUCUGGAACCCGGUUGCUCACGUCCAACCCGGAAGGGGCAGUGGCUGAGAUGGAAGGGGAGGAAAACCUGAGAGGGGACCCUGUACCUCUGGGCUCUGCAUGGUCUUCAACUCAACUUACCCACAACAUGAAGUUCGUGCGGAAUGGAAGGUUCAAGAAGUCUCUUUUCCAGGAGACUUUGCAGUCUUUCUUAAUCACCAAAAGUUUGCCUUAGGGUUCAUCGAGAAGAUCCAACCAACAUUUUCAGAUGGGUGUAGGUGUGAGAGUCGGAUCUCUCCCACAUGGCUUUGAAGACCCCAGCAACAGUCAGCUUCCACGGCGUGUGGGGCUCUGGGCUUGGGUCGGAGGGCUGGCCCCAGGCUCCUGUGGGGAUACCCCGCUCCCCCACCUUUCCCCCAGGGACCCCUUUGUGGCUCCCAACAUGCUGUCCUGCAGAAAGCUAAUGUUGGCCGCAUCUGUUCCUUGAGCUGGUCAAUUCCCGUGUUAAGAAUGGGUGGCUCAGUCGGUUAAGCGUCCGACUUCGGCUCGGGUCACGAUCUCACGGUUCGUGAGUUCGAGCCCCGCAUCGGGCUCUGUGCUGACAGGCUCGGAGCCUGGAGCCCGCUUCGGAUUCUGGGUCUCCUUC